This 253-nucleotide ribosomal RNA is filed under the name uncultured bacterium. RNAcentral's name for it is "partial 16S ribosomal RNA". It matches the Rfam family "Bacterial small subunit ribosomal RNA", at positions 524 to 776 of the family's 1533-position model. The record is from RNAcentral.
UACGAAGGGAGCUAGCGUUGUUCGGAAUUACUGGGCGUAAAGCGCACGUAGGCGGACAUUUAAGUCAGGGGUGAAAUCCCAGAGCUCAACUCUGGAACUGCCUUUGAUACUGGGUGUCUUGAGUAUGGAAGAGGUGAGUGGAAUUCCGAGUGUAGAGGUGAAAUUCGUAGAUAUUCGGAGGAACACCAGUGGCGAAGGCGGCUCACUGGUCCAUUACUGACGCUGAGGUGCGAAAGCGUGGGGAGCAAACAGG